Daktulosphaira vitifoliae (grape phylloxera) is the source of this 1251-nucleotide RNA transcript. RefSeq lists it as uncharacterized. The record is from RefSeq and is a predicted model, not a curated record. The transcript is spliced from 2 exons. Lineage: Eukaryota; Metazoa; Arthropoda; Insecta; Hemiptera; Phylloxeridae.
UAAACUAACAAGUAGAAUACUAAGUAUUUUCAACUACUUAUGUGUGUAGUGUCAUGGACGAGCUGCAGUGCUUGGCGCCUCAGUUAUGCAUCCGUUGCAAGUCAUGUUGUCAUAUUGUUACUAAUGCCAACGCUUGCACAUGUCUUAAUGAGAAGGAUUGUCCACAUAACAAAAAGAAACUAAAAAAAAAGUUAGUACACGUAUAAAUUGUGUAUUACAUCAGUCAUAUUCUAUGUACGACAAUUAUUGAUGAUCAAGUUUACACAAAAAGGAAUAUUGAAUCUGAUGACGAGUCUAGUGAUGAUAUUUCUAGUUCUUCAAGCAGUACAUCAAGUAGCUCGUUAGAAUCUUCAUAGUAAAUUACUGGUAAAUACAAUUAAUUUAGGAAUACAUUUUUUUAUGACUUAUAAAUAACAUAUAAUACAUUUAAGUUGUACAUUGUUGUUAACUGGAAUUUUCGUUUAUAGAAGAUUUAGAACUACUGCUGCUGCUGCUGCUGCUGCUACUACUACUGUCGGAACUGCUACUCGAACUACUGCCACUGCUACUGCUACUAUUACUGCUAGUACUAGAGCUACCACUGCUAUCACUGCUGUCAGAAUCUGACGAAGAAGAUGAACUGCUAUCAUCUGUUUUCUUCUUUCGUUUGGGGUUUUUAGAUUUGUCUUUAGUAACUCUAAACAAAAUGUAGUAAAAAAUCAACACUAUACAAAUAAAAUUUAAUAUAAUAAUAAUUAAAAAAAAAUUUAUUGAUUACAAAUAUCAUGAUAGGUUUAAAAUAAAUUUACAAAUAAUCGUUUGUACUAUCGAUCUAGUACAAAAUAUAUACAUAUAUACUAUAAAAUACUUGAAACUCACUUAGAUAAGAUUUUAUCUGCUGGUCUGUCCUUGUUUAAAUUUCUUUUCAAUAAAGUCGUACGAGUUGGGCGAUCAACAAGUUUUCUUUUCCCUUUACAUUCAUAAGUCCAGUGGCCUAAUUCAAGACAUUUUUGACAGCGUACACCUUGUGGUGGCACAUAGGUCCUAUAAUAAAGUUUUUCUGAGGGUAAUUAAUAUGCUUAAAUUAAAUAAUUUGCAUUAUCCUAGAUACAAACUCACGGUUUCUUUUUAUUUAAAAUAGGCAUUAUGGACUCGGAUGGUAAUUUGUACUACGCAACACCUAUAGAUAGCAAACAAAAUUUACAGAAAUAAAUUUGUAAAAAUAUAAAGAAUCAAUUAUAAAAUGUAAUUAAUAAAAUAAUAGUCUUUUAA